CCCUUAGAUGUUCUGGGCCGCACGCGCGCUACACUGACGAAGUCAGCGAGCAUGUCCUACGCCGACAGGUGCGGGGAAUCUUGUCAAACUUCGUCGUGAUGGGGAUUGAUUAUUGAAAUUCUUGAUCAUCAACGAGGAAUUCCUAGUAAGCGCAAGUCAGCAGCUUGCGUUGAUUACGUCCCUGCCCUUUGUACACACCGCCCGUCGCUCCUACCGAUGAGUCGUCCGGUGAAGUUCGUAGACCUCGUGAUCGCGGAUCACUGGGGGAAGCAAAAUGAACCUCGCGGUUUAGAGGAAGGAGAAGUCGUAACA
Molecule: ribosomal RNA, 312 nt
Filed under: uncultured eukaryote
Lineage: Eukaryota
Description: partial 18S ribosomal RNA
Rfam family: Eukaryotic small subunit ribosomal RNA
Source: RNAcentral